AAACAAGAGCCUUAGACACCACUUUGCUCUCUUAGGCACACCAACACUCUUCACACUUUCUUGCUCUGAGCACUUCUAAAUAGUUCAAAAUUGGAAACCUUCUUUUGAUUAUUCCUCGGAGUGGUUAAGGCCUUGGCCACCAGAGCUGAUGGCCUCACCUUAGCAUUGGGGGUUGCUGCAACCUUAGAAAGAGGUUUAACUUAGACGUUCUUUUCGGUCAUGUUGAGUGAUGAUGACG
Molecule: long non-coding RNA, 238 nt
Filed under: Vigna radiata
Lineage: Eukaryota; Viridiplantae; Streptophyta; Magnoliopsida; Fabales; Fabaceae
Description: long non-coding RNA (VRAD_LNC001247)
Source: RNAcentral